This 1403-nucleotide ribosomal RNA is filed under the name uncultured prokaryote. RNAcentral describes it as "partial 16S ribosomal RNA". It matches the Rfam family "Bacterial small subunit ribosomal RNA", at positions 62 to 1440 of the family's 1533-position model. The record is from RNAcentral.
UCGUGCGAGAAGUACCCUCCGGGGUGCGAGUAAAGCGGCGGACGGGUGAGUAACACGUGGAUAACCUACCUUUGAGACAGGGAUAACUAUCUGAAAAGAUAGCUAAUACCGGAUGUGGUUCAUCCCCCAUAAGGAGGAUGAAUUAAAGAUGGCCUCUAUUUAUAUGCUAUCGCUCAUUGAUGGGUCCGCGGCCUAUCAGCUUGUUGGUGAGGUAAUGGCUCACCAAGGCUAUGACGGGUAGCUGGUCUGAGAGGAUGAUCAGUCACAGUGGAACUGAGACACGGUUCACACUCCUACGGGAGGCAGCAGCCAAGAAUCUUGGGCAAUGGGCGAAAGCCUGACCCAGCAAUACCGCGUGGAGGACGAAGGCCCUCGGGUUGUAAACUCCUGUCAGAAGGGACGAAGGUUUAGAGCUGAAUAAUCUCUAAAGUUGACGGUACCUUCAAAGGAAGCCCCGGCUAAUUACGUGCCAGCAGCCGCGGUAAGACGUAUGGGGCAAGCGUUGCUCGGAUUAACUGGGCGUAAAGGGCAUGUAGGUGGUGUUAAAAGUCAAAUGUGAAAUCCCACGGCUUAACUGUGGACCCGCAUUUGAAACUUUAGCACUUGAGUUCAGGUGGGGUGAAUGGAAUUCCAGGUGUAGGGGUGAAAUCUGUAGAUAUCUGGAAGAACACCAGUGGCGAAGGCGAUUCACUAACCUGAUACUGACACUGAGAUGCGAAAGCGUGGGGAGCGAACAGGAUUAGAUACCCUGGUAGUCCACGCCGUAAACGAUGGACACUUGGUGUUGGAAGAGUUAAAUCUUCUAGUGCCGUAGCUAACGUGUUAAGUGUCCCGCCUGGGAAGUACGAUCGCAAGAUUGAAACUCAAAGAAAUUGACGGGGGCCCGCACAAGUGGUGGAGCAUGUGGCUUAAUUCGAUGAUACGCGAGGAACCUUACCAGGGUUUGACAUGUAUCUGACUGUCUCUGAAAAGGGAUUUUCCUUCGGGACGGAUACACAGGUGCUGCAUGGUUGUCGUCAGCUCGUGCCGUGAGGUGUUGGGUUAAGUCCCGCAACGAGCGCAACCCUCAUUCUCUGUUGCCAUCAGGUCAUGCUGGGCACUCUGAGAAAACUGCCGGUGACAAACCGGAGGAAGGUGAGGAUGACGUCAAAUCAUCAUGGCCCUUAUACCCUGGGCUGCACACGUGCUACAAUGGAUGGUACAAUGGGUCGCAAUACCGCGAGGUGGAGCUAAUCCCAAAAAACCAUCCCAAGUUCGGAUUGAAGGCUGCAAUUCGCCUUCAUGAAGUUGGAAUCACUAGUAAUCGCGCAUCAGCUACGGCGCGGUGAAUGCGUUCCCGGGCCUUGUACACACCGCCCGUCACACCAUGGAAGCCGAUUAUACCCGAAGCCGGUGUAUCAACC